AUGGACGAGCUCGCCCUGCCGCCGCCGCUCCAUCUUCCGCAUCUCCCGGACGACAUGCUCGUGGAGAUCCUCCUGCGACUCCCGCCGGAGCCCAUCCACCUCUUCUGCGCCUCCUUCGUCUCCAAGCACUGGCGAAGCCUCGUGCACGACGCCCGAUUCCUCCGCCGCUUCCGUGAGUUCCACGUGGGGAUGCCUCCCGUCCUCGGCUUCUUCAGCAACCGGCUGGAUCAUUCCCUCUUCGUCCCCACCUCCGGCGGCUUCGCGCUCUCCGCCGCCGCCAAGAUGUCCCACCGCGACUGGUGGGCCCUCGACUGCCGCCACGGCCGCGCCCUCCUGGAAAAGUUAGGGUCCCGAACGCUCCUCGUUUGGGACCUCGUGACCGGCGACCGGCGCUACCUGCCCCUUCCCCCCGCCUGCAAGCGGGGGUACAACGGCGCGGUUCUCCGCGCGGCCGGCCACGCCGACUGCCAUUGCCAUCGGUGCCCGUUCCUCGUGGUGUACGUGUUCAGACGACCUAAUUCUGCUGGAAUCUGUGCGUCCGUCUGGUCGUCCGAGACCGGCGUCUGGAGUGAGACCACCGUCAUCAUUGUACCAUAUUUAUCAGUUGUUCCGGAACCGUCGACUCUGGUUGGGAAUAAACUCUACUGGCUGCUGGAAAACUCUAGUAUCUUAGAGUAUGAUUUGGAUCAUCAUGGGCUGGGUCUAAUUCACGAGAUGCCAUACGACGCUCUCUGGGCGGGGAAGUUCCUCCUCAUGCCGGCAGAGGAUGGACGGCUUGGUUUGGCCGGAGUUGAACGACACAAUCUUCAUCUGUGGUCACUGAUUGCGAGCAUUGACGGGCGGGUAACAUGGACACAUCAAAGGGUAAUUGAUCUUGGGAAUUUCCUCGGGCCAGAAGUGGCGGCGAAAUGUAUCUAUGGGAUUGGUUUUGCUCAAGAUGCUGGGGUGAUCUUCAUUCAUAUGCACGCUACCGUCUAUAUGAUCCAUCUCAAGUCCAUGCAGAUCAAGGAGGUGUCAGAGAAAGGGUUGCACAUCUGCGGCGAUGCUUUGUUGGUAAAGAGAUGA
RNAcentral lists this ribosomal RNA (1065 nucleotides) under Triticum aestivum (bread wheat). RNAcentral describes it as "partial small subunit ribosomal RNA". Lineage: Eukaryota; Viridiplantae; Streptophyta; Magnoliopsida; Poales; Poaceae. The record is from RNAcentral.